RNAcentral lists this ribosomal RNA (465 nucleotides) under uncultured Psychrobacter sp. RNAcentral's name for it is "bacterial SSU rRNA". It matches the Rfam family "Bacterial small subunit ribosomal RNA", at positions 338 to 795 of the family's 1533-position model. Lineage: Bacteria; Pseudomonadati; Pseudomonadota; Gammaproteobacteria; Moraxellales; Moraxellaceae. The record is from RNAcentral.
CCUACGUGGGGCAGCAGUGGGGAAUAUUGGACAAUGGGGGCAACCCUGAUCCAGCCAUGCCGCGUGUGUGAAGAAGGCCUUUUGGUUGUAAAGCACUUUAAGCAGUGAAGAAGACUCUAUGGUUAAUACCCAUAGACGAUGACAUUAGCUGCAGAAUAAGCACCGGCUAACUCUGUGCCAGCAGCCGCGGUAAUACAGAGGGUGCAAGCGUUAAUCGGAAUUACUGGGCGUAAAGCGAGCGUAGGUGGCUUAAUAAGUCAGAUGUGAAAUCCCCGGGCUUAACCUGGGAACUGCAUCUGAUACUGUUGGGCUAGAGUAGGUGAGAGGGAGGUAGAAUUUCAGGUGUAGCGGUGAAAUGCGUAGAGAUCUGAAGGAAUACCGAUGGCGAAGGCAGCCUCCUGGCAUCAUACUGACACUGAGGUUCGAAAGCGUGGGUAGCAAACAGGAUUAGAUACCCCAGUAGUC